This 795-nucleotide ribosomal RNA is filed under the name uncultured bacterium. Its description in RNAcentral is "bacterial SSU rRNA". It matches the Rfam family "Bacterial small subunit ribosomal RNA", at positions 8 to 796 of the family's 1533-position model. The record is from RNAcentral.
AGAGUUUGAUCAUGGCUCAGAGCGAACGUUAGCGGCGGGCCUAACACAUGCAAGUCGAACGCGAAAGGGAUUCGUCCCCGGUAGCGUGGCGUCCGGGUGAGUAACACGUAGGAAAUCUUCCCUAGAGCGGGGGAUAACGUCCCGAAAGGGACGCUAAUACCGCAUAAGCCCACGGCGACUCCGGUCGAAGAGGGAAAAGCUGGCCACUGUAUACAAGCUAGCACUUUAGAUGAUCCUGCGGCGCAUCACUAGUUGGUGGGGAAUGGCCCACCAGGCUUAACGCGUAGCUGGCUGAGAGGAUGAUCACCACACUGGCACUGAAACACGNNNCNNACUCCUACGGGAGGCAGCAGUGGNNAAUAUUGGCAAUGGGCGCAAGCCUGAUCCACCACGCCGCGUGAGUGAUGAAGGCCUUCGGGUUGUAAGCUCUGUGGGGAGGGACNACGCGCAAAAGAAACGGUGCGUCCUUGACGGUACCUCCUUAGCAAGCACCGGCUAACUCUGUGCCAGCAGCCGCGGUAAUACAGAGGGUGCGAACGUUGCUCGGAAUUACUGGGCGUAAAGCGCAUGUAGGCGGAUCGAUAAGUCGGGCGUGAAAUCCCCAGGCUCAACCUGGGAACUGCGCUCGAAACUGUAGGUCUUGAGUGUCGGAGAGGAUGGCGGAAUUCCUGGUGUAGAGGUGAAAUUCGUAGAUAUCAGGAGGAACACCGGUGGCGAAGGCGGCCAUCUGGACGACAACUGACGCUGAGAUGCGAAAGCGUGGGGAGCAAACAGGAUUAGAUACCCUAGUAGUCC